Molecule: ribosomal RNA, 1350 nt
Filed under: uncultured bacterium
Lineage: Bacteria
Description: bacterial SSU rRNA
Rfam family: Bacterial small subunit ribosomal RNA
Source: RNAcentral
AAGACAUGCAAGUCGAGCGAACGGACGAGAAGCUUGCUUCUCUGAUGUUAGCGGCGGACGGGUGAGUAACACGUCGAUAACCUACCUAUAAGACUGGGAUAACUUCGGGAAACCGGAGCUAAUACCGGAUAAUAUUUUGAACCGCAUGGAUCAAAAGUGAAAGACGGUCUUGCUGUCACUUAUAGAUGGAUCCGCGCUGCAUUAGCUAGUUGGUAAGGAAACGGCUUACCAAGGCAACGAUGCAUAGCCGACCUGAGAGGGUGAUCGGCCACAUGGGAACUGAGACACGGUCCAGACUCCUACGGGAGGCAGCAGUAGGGAAUCCUCCGCAAUGGGCGAAAGCCUGACGGACCAACGCCGCGUGAGUGAUGAAGGUCUUCGGAUCGCAAAACUCUGUUAUUAGGGAAGAACAUAUGAGUAAGUAACUGCGCACAUCUUGACGGUACCUAAUCAGAAAGCCACGGCUAACUACGUGCCAGCAGCCGCGGUAAUACGUAGGCGGCAAGCGUAACCCGGAAAUAUUGGGCGUAAAGCGCGCGUAGGCGGUUUUUUAAGUCUGAUGUGAAAGCCCACGGCUCAACCGUGGAGGGUCAUUGGAAACUGGAAAACUUGAGUGCAGAAGAGGAAAGUGGAAUUCCAUGUGUAGCGGUGAAAUGCGCAGAGACAUGGAGGAACACCAGUGGCGAAGGCGACUUUCUGGUCUGUAACUGACGCUGAUGUGCGAAAGCGUGGGGAUCAAACAGGAUUAGAUACCCUGGUAGUCCACGCCGUAAACGAUGAGUGCUAAGUGUUAGAGGGUUUCCGCCCCUUAGUGCUGCAGCUAACGCAUUAAGCACUCCGCCUGGGGAGUACGACCGCAAGGUUGAAACUCAAAGGAAUUGACGGGGACCCGCACAAGCGGUGGAGCAUGUGGUUUAAUUCGAAGCAACGCGAAGAACCUUACCAAAUCUUGACAUCCUUUGACAACUCUAGAGAUAGAGCCUUCCCCUUCGGGGGACAAAGUGACAGGUGGUGCAUGGUUGUCGUCAGCUCGUGUCGUGAGAUGUUGGGUUAAGUCCCGCAACGAGCGCAACCCUUAAGCUUAGUUGCCAUCAUUAAGUUGGGCACUCUAAGUUGACUGCCGGUGACAAACCGGAGGAAGGUGGGGAUGACGUCAAAUCAUCAUGCCCCUUAUGAUUUGGGCUACACACGUGCUACAAUGGACAAUACAAAGGGCAGCGAAACCGCGAGGUCAAGCAAAUCCCAUAAAGUUGUUCUCAGUUCGGAUUGUAGUCUGCAACUCGACUACAUGAAGCUGGAAUCGCUAGUAAUCGUAGAUCAGCAUGCUACGGUGAAUACGUUCCCGGGUCU